GAACGCACAUUGCACCCUCUGGUAUUCCGGAGGGUAUGCCUGUUUGAGUGUCAUUUCACCACUCAAGCCUCGCUUGGUAUUGGGCAACGCGGUCCGCCGCGUGCCUCAAAUCGUCCGGCUGGGUCUUCUGUCCCCUAAGCGUUGUGGAAACUAUUCGCUAAAGGGUGUUCGGGAGGCUACGCCGUAAAACAACCCCAUUUCUAAGGUUGACCUCGGAUCAGGUAGGGAUACCCGCUGAACUUAAG
Molecule: unclassified non-coding RNA, 245 nt
Filed under: Cladosporium herbarum
Lineage: Eukaryota; Fungi; Ascomycota; Dothideomycetes; Cladosporiales; Cladosporiaceae
Description: sequence contains 5.8S rRNA gene
Rfam family: 5.8S ribosomal RNA (bases 1-53)
Source: RNAcentral